ACUCCUACGGGAGGCAGCAGUGGGGAAUUUUGGACAAUGGGCGAAAGCCUGAUCCAGCAAUGCCGCGUGUGUGAAGAAGGCCUUCGGGUUGUAAAGCACUUUUGUCCGGAAAGAAAUCCUUGGUUCUAAUAUCACCCGGGGGAUGACGUACCGG
RNAcentral lists this ribosomal RNA (154 nucleotides) under uncultured Burkholderia sp. RNAcentral describes it as "partial 16S ribosomal RNA". It matches the Rfam family "Bacterial small subunit ribosomal RNA", at positions 335 to 481 of the family's 1533-position model. Lineage: Bacteria; Pseudomonadati; Pseudomonadota; Betaproteobacteria; Burkholderiales; Burkholderiaceae. The record is from RNAcentral.